AUGCACGCUGGCGGCGUGCUUAACCCCUGCCAGUCGAACGAUGAAGCCCAGCUUGCUGGGUGGAUUAGUGGCGAACGGGUGAGUAACACGUGAGUAACCUGCCCUUAACUCUGGGAUAAGCCUGGGAAACUGGGUCUAAUACCGGAUAGGAGCGUCCACCGCAUGGUGGGUGUUGGAAAGAUUUAUCGGUUUUGGAUGGACUCGCGGCCUAUCAGCUUGUUGGUGAGGUAAUGGCUCACCAAGGCGACGACGGGUAGCCGGCCUGAGAGGGUGACCGGCCACACUGGGACUGAGACACGGCCCAGACUCCUACGGGAGACAGCAGUGGGGAAUAUUGCACAAUGGGCGCAAGCCUGAUGCAGCGACGCCGCGUGAGGGAUGACGGCCUUCGGGUUGUAAACCUCUUUCAGUAGGGAAGAAGCGAAAGUGACGGUACCUGCAGAAGAAGCACCGGCUAACUACGUG
This 465-nucleotide ribosomal RNA is filed under the name uncultured bacterium. Its description in RNAcentral is "partial 16S ribosomal RNA". It matches the Rfam family "Bacterial small subunit ribosomal RNA", at positions 29 to 507 of the family's 1533-position model. The record is from RNAcentral.